Lytechinus pictus (painted urchin) is the source of this 4681-nucleotide RNA transcript. It is a transcript of the gene named dihydrolipoyl dehydrogenase, mitochondrial-like, with no coding region annotated. Lineage: Eukaryota; Metazoa; Echinodermata; Echinoidea; Temnopleuroida; Toxopneustidae. The transcript is spliced from 12 exons. The record is from RefSeq and is a predicted model, not a curated record.
AAAAUCCUUACAUGUGCUAAUGACAAGAUGUCGCUCUUACCUGUCGUAACCCGAGCUGGACGCUGUCUUUCGACUGUAAACCACGUUCACAAGCUUUCAAGAUGUACCACACCCGCACUUUGGAGGGGCCAGAGGCGGCACAUGUCACAGUCUGAAGCUGUAGAGGAACAGGACUUGGUAGUCAUUGGGUCUGGACCAGGGGGCUAUGUAGCAGCUAUCAAGGCUGCACAACUAGGACUAAAGACAACAUGUGUAGAAAAGAAUGAUACCUUAGGAGGUACCUGCCUCAAUGUUGGUUGUAUCCCAUCCAAGGCUCUUCUUAAUAACUCCCAUCUCUACCACAUGGCCACAUCCAAGGACUUCAAGAACAGAGGCAUUGAUGUUGGUGAAGUAAAGCUGAAUUUGCCUCAGAUGAUGGGACAGAAAUCCGAUGCAGUCAAAGCACUAACAAAUGGUAUUGGGCAUCUCUUCAAACAAAACUCAGUAACCAGGAUUCAGGGACAUGGUAAAAUCACUGGACCUAAUGAGGUCGCUGUACUCCAUCCUGAUGGUAAAAUCAAAGAAGUCGUCAAGACUAAGAACAUCCUCAUAGCAACAGGGUCAGAGGUCAUGCCAUUCCCCGGAAUUGAGGUUGAUGAGAAGUCUGUGGUGUCAUCAACAGGAGCCUUAUCUCUCGAGAGAGUCCCUGAUCACAUGGUUCUCAUUGGAGGGGGCGUUAUCGGCUUAGAAUUGGGGUCUGUAUGGCAGCGUCUUGGAGCCAAGGUCACAGCCGUUGAGUUCUUGGGUCACAUAGGUGGUGUCGGUAUUGAUAUGGAAAUGGCGAAGAACUUCCAAAGGAUCCUCACCAAGCAAGGGAUCAAGUUCAUGCUGAACACCAAGGUGACCGGUGCUACCAGGUCAGGAGACGACAUCAGCGUGUCUGUAGAAUCAGUUAAAGAUCCCAACAAGAAAGAAGAACUUCCGUGUGACACGCUGCUCGUCUGCGUCGGACGCAGGCCCUACACGAAUAACCUAGGCUUAGAGGAGCUUGGAAUUUCCCUGGAUGAGAGAGGGAGGAUACCUGUAGACAAUCGCUUUGCAACAUCUGUACCAAAUGUGUUUGCCAUUGGAGAUUGCAUUCAUGGGCCCAUGCUGGCACACAAGGCCGAGGACGAAGGUAUCAUCGCUGUAGAAGGAAUGGCCGGUGGGCCUGUUCACAUUGACUAUAAUUGUGUUCCCUCUGUGAUCUACACACAUCCCGAGGUAGCAUGGGUAGGCAAGACAGAGGAACAGCUGAAGGAAGAAGGAAUCAAGUACAAAGUGGGAAAGUUCCCCUUCGCAGCCAACAGCAGGGCUAAGACCAAUGCUGAUACCGAUGGUUUAGUGAAGAUGUUGAGUGAUGCAGCUACCGAUAGAAUUCUUGGAGCACACAUCAUUGGGUCAGGAGCGGGAGAAAUUAUCAACGAAGCAGCAUUAGCAAUGGAGUAUGGAGCUUCCUGCGAAGAUGUAGCCAGAGUUUGCCAUGCACAUCCGGUAAGUCUACCAAUGUAAUUGAAGAAUGUUUUACGGUGUGGAACUUUCACACGUUUGGGCCGAUUUACAAAAUGUGUUUGUAGUGGAAUCUUUCUGAUUCAUUUUUAAACUCAAGUUUUGCAAUCGAAAUAAAAAGUGGAGAUGUGAAUGCAAUCUAUUCGAUAAGUUGGCUUAGCUGCAAUUCUACUUUAAGAAAUUGAUCUGAUAUCGCAAUUUUUUUCAUGCACACUCGCUAGGAAACACCAAAAAGAGUUUUCAUACUGAAAAUUAGACCAUUUGGAGCUUUAUUUAGGGAGUUAGAGGGAAAAGUAUGAUUUUGCAUACUAAUUAUGCAUAAAUUAGCAUAAUUGCUUAAUAGCAAUUUGCAUGAAAUAAAUUACUACACAGUUUUGUAGAUUAUGUCCAAGACAACCUGCGUGCCAAUUUUUCGGGGCGCGAUCGCGCGGCAAACGGAAGAGAUCUUAAGGGGGGGCCUGGAAGGCCCCCCCCCUGGCCAUAUGAACUCCAAAAAUACCCAGGCCUAGAUAGGGUUAAACCUGGGUUAAAGUUAAACCCGACUUCAGAAUACGGGCUGUAAUAUACUUGUGCGUGAUGAAAUUGAGCUGUGCAGUUGUUUGGAGAAUGCAAUGAAAGAUAUGGUAUUUUCUCAAUACUUUAAAUUUGUAUUUUUCUUGACUCCUUCAAAAAAGUAUUAAACAUAUAUUUCCGAUAAAUGAAACUUCCAACAUUUUAACAUUGAAUGUUAAUCAAGAAGAUAUGAACUGCAUCUGUUUUAUGAAAAUUAAAAUGAAACUUUGUAGGUAUUACAAGCUGGUUGAUAUUUGCACCAUUUUUUUUUUUUGGGGGGGGCAUUCCAAUGCAUUCCAAUAGUUUCCAAUGUGAUUGGAGCUUUUAUGCCGAAGGGAAUGCAUCUUACAUGCCAAUUUUUGUUUCUUGUUUUUUUUCUUUCAGACCGUAUCCGAAGCAUUCAGAGAAGCCAACAUGGCAGCAUACAUCGGGAAAGCUAUCAACUUUUAAUAAUGCACUUUCAUCGGAAUACAAUUUGAAUAGAUCCUCUGUGCUUUAAUAUCUUUAUUCUACAUGUAUAGUUUUAACUAUUUGCUGCCCUGUGAGUAACCGUAGUGGUUUUGGGGAAGAUAGGUAUAUUGUAUGUGUUGUGCCAUAGUUAUUUAUAUACUUUCAGAUAAGAAUUACUCUGUGAACACUGCUUUGAAAGCAUGACCCAUGUAUGUAGAGCCUCAAAGUAUUCUAUAAGAAUUGGCAUUUUCACCUUUUUAAAUGACAAACCCUGACCAUAUGAUGGGGUGUCAGUUGUUGCAGACCUCCAUUGUACCUUUUGAAAUGCAUAGCAUGUACAUAAUACUGAUAGAUUUAAAUAUAUUAACACUCCUGUAUUUAUGCUAAUGAAAUGUUUUCCAAGGACAGUUCAUAUUCGUUCACUGUGCUGGUUAAUGGUACUAAACAAUGAAUCAUCCACAUAGGGUGCUUGGCAGAACCAUUUUAAUUAAUUGAUAAUUUCAUAAAGACUUGUUAUAAUAACAAAUGCAUAGUUUUCCUGACAAGUUUAUGAUCAGCCAAUGAAAUUGAAGGAUUGAAGUAUACAGUUAUGUAAAGUUUAAUGAAACUGGGCCCAAGUCGUGAUAGUUUGUCAUUCAAUGGCGAAUUCAGUGAUUCUUUUUGGUUUGUUUUGAUUGGAUGAGAAGUACUGUUUCUACGGUUACUGUGGAUGCCAGCAUGUCAGCGAUGAAAACCGUCACAAAGCAAUGACAAUGGCCUUGUAACACAGAGCUUAGUGCUUGUUCUUACGACCGAUAUUUAUUCGUGACAUAAACUUGAUCAUUAUGUGCAAUCAAGCAUACAAAUUAUCUGUAUCAUCAAUUGCUAAGCUUUGUGUUCCAGGUCCAAGAAGUUUUGCUAUGGACACAUUCAUUAGGAAACCCAAUCUAAGACAGACUGCAUGAUAUCACAUUACAUGUAUUGGCAAUAUCGUAUGAAUAAUGUUUCUCACACAUCACUGCAUGAACAGAGCUUUUAAAGCCUAAAGUUCUGUUGUUAUAUUCAUUCUAUUUCUGUGUACAUGACAUACCACAGAUGUAUGUACAUGUGUCAAGAUUUGUCAAGGACUUGAUACAUGCCUUUAUAGCUCUUAAUUGCAUUGCAUGAUUGGACUGAAUUUUUGUACAUCACAAGCCAGCAUGACGAUCCAAACAUGGAGAGUCCUACUUCAAGUAGGUUCGCUCUUUGCACAUUAUUUUUCCCUGGAAACUACAGAAAUUAAAAAAUCAACUCUUUCACAGAAAUGAUCGUACAAAUGAAAACUCUGGUGUUAAUUUGAUAAAUGCAAUCAGAAGAAUGCAGUGUUCUGAGGAAUACCCUUUCACCAUUCAACAAUCCUGUCCCAUAAUGUAUUGCGAUGCAAGAACUGUAAAUGCACAUAUUGAAAUCAACACUGCUUUGCCCUUAUGUAUCAUUUGAUGAAAAUUACAUGCAUGUGUGAUAUGACCAAGGAAUAUCAAUCAAGCACAAUGAUCAUUAGAUAUCUAUCUUUGUCGACUUUUUGAAAUUUCCUCAGUGUUUUAAGCUGAUUUCCAACACAUUGGCUCUAACAAAUAUUUCAUUAUUUUUUUUUGCUUUUUAAAAAACAAAUAUAAGAUUGCAUACCGGACAUUAUUUUCAUCCUGAUGUGUUUCUUUUAAGUCUUUUUUUAUAUUUUAAAGAGAGAAUCAAAGACGGGGAGAUGGAACUAUGAGAAACUCAAUCUUUUUAGUCAUGGCAUUUAUUCAAAUAUGUAUGCUAUGGUGGAUUGGUGACAUUGCCCUUAAAUUCACGGGAAGAAUAUCUGACAAGUGGGCUUCUGAAGCCAUUAAAAAUCACAGUUCAAUGACUAUAGAUCUGAACUUAUCCAUAAGCAAAGGCUUAACUAUACAUAAUUUAAUUUAAAAUUCAUUCAUUCUUAUUUUUUGUCUCAGCUGUGAGCAAGCUGAUAAACAGAUUGGAAAUGAAAAUACUUGAUAUUGUAUUUUGUUUUACCAUGUGUUGUAUUUAAUUAUGGUGACCUUAAAGAUUUGGGUUUUUUAUGCCAGGUGUUGGGAGUUGUGUCCCAAUCGAAAGCUGUAUUUGGAGAAAAGGUUUACUUUAAGAAAUAAAGAUUUGAAAUUAUCCUGUAAAA